CGCCGUUGUGGCCGAACGGCGGGUGGCCCAUGUCGUGGGCCAGGCAGGCGGUCUCGACCAGGUCCGGGUCGCAGCCGAGGACCGCGCC
This 88-nucleotide transfer RNA is filed under the name Streptomyces sp. ADI98-10. RNAcentral describes it as "tRNA-Asp". The record is from RNAcentral. Lineage: Bacteria; Bacillati; Actinomycetota; Actinomycetes; Kitasatosporales; Streptomycetaceae.